This 711-nucleotide ribosomal RNA is filed under the name uncultured spirochete. Its description in RNAcentral is "bacterial SSU rRNA". It matches the Rfam family "Bacterial small subunit ribosomal RNA", at positions 59 to 759 of the family's 1533-position model. The record is from RNAcentral. Lineage: Bacteria; Pseudomonadati; Spirochaetota; Spirochaetia; Spirochaetales.
AAGUCGAGCGGCAAGCGGUAGCAAUACCGCNUAGAGCGGCGGACUGGUGAGUAACGCGUGGGUGAUCUACCCAUAGGUUGGGGAUAGCCUGUAGAAAUAUAGGGUAAUACCGAAUAUCCUUGCCGGACUUUGGUUUGGCAAGGAAAGGCGCUUCGGCGCCGCCUGUGGAUGAGCCCGCGUACUAUUAGCUAGUUGGUGAGGUAAUGGCCCACCAAGGCGAUGAUAGUUAGCCGGCCUGAGAGGGUGAUCGGCCACAUUGGGACUGAGAUACGGCCCAAACUCCUACGGGAGGCAGCAGCUAAGAAUAUUCCGCAAUGGACGAAAGUCUGACGGAGCGACGCCGCGUGAAUGACGAAGGCCGAAAGGUUGUAAAAUUCUUUUGCCACUGAAGAAUAAGCAUGGUAGGUAAUGACCGUGCGAUGACGUUAGGUGGUGAAUAAGCCCCGGCUAAUUACGUGCCAGCAGCCGCGGUAACACGUAAGGGGCGAGCGUUGUUCGGAAUUAUUGGGCGUAAAGGGCGCGUAGGCGGCUCUGUAAGUCUGAAGUGAAAUCCCACAGCUUAACUGUGGAACUGCUUCGGAAACUGCUGAGCUCGAGUCUAGGAGGGGAAGUUGGAAUUCCUAGUGUAGGGGUGAAAUCUAUAGAUAUUAGGAAGAACACCAAUGGCGAAGGCAAACUUCUAGCCUAAGACUUGACGCUGAGGCGCGAAAG